RNAcentral lists this ribosomal RNA (516 nucleotides) under uncultured bacterium. RNAcentral's name for it is "bacterial SSU rRNA". It matches the Rfam family "Bacterial small subunit ribosomal RNA", at positions 21 to 518 of the family's 1533-position model. The record is from RNAcentral.
GGCUCAGGACGAACGCUGGCGGCGUGCCUAAUACAUGCAAGUAGAACGCUGAGGACUGGUGCUUGCACUGGUCUAAGGAGUUGCGAACGGGUGAGUAACGCGUAGGUAACCUACCUCAUAGCGGGGGAUAACUAUUGGAAACGAUAGCUAAUACCGCAUGACAAUAGGGUACACAUGUACCCUAUUUAAAAGGGGCAAAUGCUUCACUAUGAGAUGGACCUGCGUUGUAUUAGCUAGUUGGUAAGGUAACGGCUUACCAAGGCGACGAUACAUAGCCGACCUGAGAGGGUGAUCGGCCACACUGGGACUGAGACACGGCCCAGACUCCUACGGGAGGCAGCAGUAGGGAAUCUUCGGCAAUGGGGGGAACCCUGACCGAGCAACGCCGCGUGAAGUGAAGAAGGUUUUCGGAUCGUAAAGCUCUGUUGUUAGAGAAGAACGGUAAUGGGAGUGGAAAAUCCAUUACGUGACGGUAACUAACCAGAAAGGGACGGCUAACUACGUGCCAGCAGCUGC